CCUACGGGAGGCAGCAGUGAGGAAUAUUGGUCAAUGGACGAGAGUCUGAACCAGCCAAGUAGCGUGAAGGAUGACUGCCCUAUGGGUUGUAAACUUCUUUUAUAAAGGAAUAAAACGAGGCACGUGUGCCUUUUUGCAUGUACGUUAUGAAUAAGGAUCGGCUAACUCCGGGCCAGCAGCCGCGGUAAUACGGAGGAUCCGAGCGUUAUCCGGAUUUAUUGGGUUUAAAGGGAGCGUAGAUGGGUUGUUAAGUCAGUUGUGAAAUUGUGCGGCUCAACCGUAGAAUUGCAAUUGAUACUGGCAGUCUUGAGUACAGUAGAGGUAGGCGGAAUUCGUGGUGUAGCGGUGAAAUGCUUAGAUAUCACGAAGAACCCCGAUUGCGAAGGCAGCUUACUAAACUGUGACUGACAUUGAUGCUCGAAAGUGUGGGUAUCAAACAGGAUUAGAUACCCGAGUAGUC
RNAcentral lists this ribosomal RNA (460 nucleotides) under uncultured bacterium. RNAcentral describes it as "partial 16S ribosomal RNA". It matches the Rfam family "Bacterial small subunit ribosomal RNA", at positions 338 to 795 of the family's 1533-position model. The record is from RNAcentral.